This 450-nucleotide ribosomal RNA is filed under the name uncultured bacterium. Its description in RNAcentral is "partial 16S ribosomal RNA". It matches the Rfam family "Bacterial small subunit ribosomal RNA", at positions 354 to 796 of the family's 1533-position model. The record is from RNAcentral.
GUGGGGAAUCUUCCGCAAUGGACGAAAGUCUGACGGAGCGACGCCGCGUGAGUGAAGAAGGCCUUCGGGUCGUAAAGCUCUGUCAUCAGGGACGAACGGCCGGUGGAGUGGAAAGCCACCGGAUUGACGGUACCUGAGAAGGAAGCCACGGCUAACUACGUGCCAGCAGCCGCGGUAAUACGUAGGUGGCAAGCGUUGUCCGGAAUUAUUGGGCGUAAAGCGCGCGCAGGUGGGAUCUUAAGUCCAUUUUGAAAGUUCGGAGCUCAACUCCGUGAUGGGAUGGAAACUGGGAUUCUUGAGUACCGGAGAGGAAAGCGGAAUUCCCCGUGUAGCGGUGAAAUGCGUAGAUAUGGGGAGGAACACCAGUGGCGAAGGCGGCUUCCUGGCACAAUACUGACGCUCAUGUGCGAAAGCUAGGGCAGCGAACGGGAUUAGAAACCCCGGUAGUCC